This 465-nucleotide ribosomal RNA is filed under the name Vreelandella stevensii. Its description in RNAcentral is "partial 16S ribosomal RNA". It matches the Rfam family "Bacterial small subunit ribosomal RNA", at positions 338 to 795 of the family's 1533-position model. The record is from RNAcentral. Lineage: Bacteria; Pseudomonadati; Pseudomonadota; Gammaproteobacteria; Oceanospirillales; Halomonadaceae.
CCUACGGGGGGCUGCAGUGGGGAAUAUUGGACAAUGGGGGCAACCCUGAUCCAGCCAUGCCGCGUGUGUGAAGAAGGCCCUCGGGUUGUAAAGCACUUUCAGUGAGGAAGAACGCCUGGUGGUUAAUACCCAUCAGGAAAGACAUCACUCACAGAAGAAGCACCGGCUAACUCCGUGCCAGCAGCCGCGGUAAUACGGAGGGUGCGAGCGUUAAUCGGAAUUACUGGGCGUAAAGCGCGCGUAUGUGGCUUGAUAAGCCGGUUGUGAAAGCCCCGGGCUCAACCUGGGAACGGCAUCCGGAACUGUCAAGCUAGAGUGCAGGAGAGGAAGGUAGAAUUCCCGGUGUAGCGGUGAAAUGCGUAGAGAUCGGGAGGAAUACCAGUGGCGAAGGCGGCCUUCUGGACUGACACUGACACUGAGGUGCGAAAGCGUGGGUAGCAAACAGGAUUAGAUACCCCAGUAGUC